ACCGGGUGCGUGCUAUACAUGCAAGUCGAACGAGUUCUCGUUGAUGAUCGGUGCUUGCACCGAGAUUCAACAUGGAACGAGUGGCGGACGGGUGAGUAACACGUGGGUAACCUGCCCUUAAGUGGGGGAUAACAUUUGGAAACAGAUGCUAAUACCGCAUAGAUCCAAGAACCGCAUGGUUCUUGGCUGAAAGAUGGCGUAAGCUAUCGCUUUUGGAUGGACCCGCGGCGUAUUAGCUAGUUGGUGAGGUAAUGGCUCACCAAGGCGAUGAUACGUAGCCGAACUGAGAGGUUGAUCGGCCACAUUGGGACUGAGACACGGCCCAAACUCCUACGGGAGGCAGCAGUAGGGAAUCUUCCACAAUGGACGCAAGUCUGAUGGAGCAACGCCGCGUGAGUGAAGAAGGCUUUCGGGUCGUAAAACUCUGUUGUUGGAGAAGAAUGGUCGGCAGAGUAACUGUUGUCGGCGUGACGGUAUCCAACCAGAAAGCCACGGCUAACUACGUGCCAGCAGCCGCGGUAAUACGUAGGUGGCAAGCGUUAUCCGGAUUUAUUGGGCGUAAAGCGAGCGCAGGCGGUUUUUUAAGUCUGAUGUGAAAGCCCUCGGCUUAACCGAGGAAGCGCAUCGGAAACUGGGAAACUUGAGUGCAGAAGAGGACAGUGGAACUCCAUGUGUAGCGGUGAAAUGCGUAGAUAUAUGGAAGAACACCAGUGGCGAAGGCGGCUGUCUGGUCUGUAACUGACGCUGAGGCUCGAAAGCAUGGGUAGCGAACAGGAUUAGAUACCCUGGUAGUCCAUGCCGUAAACGAUGAAUGCUAGGUGUUGGAGGGUUUCCGCCCUUCAGUGCCGCAGCUAACGCAUUAAGCAUUCCGCCUGGGGAGUACGACCGCAAGGUUGAAACUCAAAGGAAUUGACGGGGGCCCGCACAAGCGGUGGAGCAUGUGGUUUAAUUCGAAGCAACGCGAAGAACCUUACCAGGUCUUGACAUCUUUUGAUCACCUGAGAGAUCAGGUUUCCCCUUCGGGGGCAAAAUGACAGGUGGUGCAUGGUUGUCGUCAGCUCGUGUCCUGAGAUGUUGGGUUAAGUCCCGCAACGAGCGCAACCCUUAUGACUAGUUGCCAGCAUUUAGUUGGGCACUCUAGUAAGAAUG
Molecule: ribosomal RNA, 1149 nt
Filed under: Lacticaseibacillus paracasei
Lineage: Bacteria; Bacillati; Bacillota; Bacilli; Lactobacillales; Lactobacillaceae
Description: bacterial SSU rRNA
Rfam family: Bacterial small subunit ribosomal RNA
Source: RNAcentral